RNAcentral lists this ribosomal RNA (139 nucleotides) under uncultured eukaryote. RNAcentral describes it as "partial 18S ribosomal RNA". It matches the Rfam family "Eukaryotic small subunit ribosomal RNA", at positions 1299 to 1458 of the family's 1831-position model. The record is from RNAcentral.
UGGUGGAGUGAUUUGUCUGGUUAAUUCCGUUAGCGAACGAGACCUCAGCCUGCUAACUAGUGACGCAUAUCUUUGAUAUGUGGCCCACUUCUUAGAGGGACUAUUUGUGUUUAAUGAAUGGAAGUUUGAGGCAAUAACA